AACUUUUAAAUAAAUAUUACAUGUAUUAAGUAUUUAUAUUAACCCAAUGUGUAAUUCUUUCAUUUUUGCUGCACUGGGAUGUUUAACAUAGUAUUCUGUGUAUUGCUAGAUCAGUUCUAUAACUUUCAAAACUUUUUUUAAAUGGAGACAAUUUGUAUGGCCUUAAUGAAGAGGACUAUGAUUGAGUUCAAUACAUGAGUUUACUUUCAAAAAUAUUUAUAGGAGAUGCCAGGAGUAAAUUGUAUCAAGUGAAAC
This 255-nucleotide long non-coding RNA is filed under the name Mytilus galloprovincialis (Mediterranean mussel). The record is from RNAcentral. Lineage: Eukaryota; Metazoa; Mollusca; Bivalvia; Mytilida; Mytilidae.